RNAcentral lists this long non-coding RNA (1250 nucleotides) under Oryctolagus cuniculus (rabbit). Its description in RNAcentral is "lncRNA (ENSOCUG00000033187.1)". Lineage: Eukaryota; Metazoa; Chordata; Mammalia; Lagomorpha; Leporidae. The record is from RNAcentral.
CCACUGCUGGGAGCUUCGCAGCCAUAACCUCACUCCAUCUCUGCUGCCCGUGGCCCUGGCCCCUCCUGCCAGAACUGGGCGAAGGAGUCACAGCACCCGGGCCACCAGCGCAGCCCAGAGCUCAGGCCUUCCCUUGGGCUGCGCAUGGACCUCGAGGCCCCGGCAGCACCCGUUCUCCUGAGAUCCCCGCAGUCCACGUGGGUGUAAGAGGGGACUGGGCUUGACCAAGGAGAAACAAAACUGGGGCCUAAUCAGUGGUCCUGCUGUCCCUGCCCCAAGAGGACGCCCACAGCCCCAGUCUGCUCUUCCCUGUGCCCAAACCCACACCCCACAUAACCCGUACACUACCCAGGGCCCAGGUUCAACGUUUCCUGGGACCUCUGCGAGUCAGUGGAAAACAUUCCUGAUAUUUAACACCUGGAUCCUCAAGGGGAGAUGCCCAGGACUCUGUGGCUUCCAGCCAGCAGGUGGUUCUAAUCCCGGAGGGGUGUUCGAGGAGCCACCCGCCGCCACAGCCCCUUCAGUGUGCAGCUGGUCAGAGCACGCCUGUGUCAGGGGCAGCCCCCAGAGCCCCACCACCCAGCCACGCGGGCCCUCUUGGUUCUCACAGUCCACAGCAGGGAUCCGCAGAGGCUCUGAGGACGCCUGACAGAGGUCCUUGUCCCCUGCCCCACAUGGAAGCCUCCAGAACCCAGAAAUCCCAGACCCCACCUCUCCCCCACCUCUGCAUCCAGCAAUGUCCCCAGAGGAUUCAGAAUCGUCAUGCCACAGUUCCCGGGAGCCAAAGAGAGGGUGCAAAGGAGGGGUGCAGGGGAGGGGGUCUGUCAGAGGAAGGGGCUCACCUCUGAUGGUGGCUGAAAAUUCCAGGGGCAGCCUUCUGCCAAGUAGGAAACCAGGAGAGCUGGGAGCAGGUGCACACCGAGUCCCCAGGAUCCAGGACCAGGACCCAGCAGCCGCCGGGUUCUUCUCGGUCUCGGGCUGCAGCCGGGAGUCCCAGGUCACGGGUGCGAGUUCCAGAGUGGAAAAGCCACAGCACCGGGGGCUCUGAGCCUGAGGGGGGGCACUGAGACGCGCAGGCUCCAUGAGAGCCCCGAGCUGCCCCUGCCCUGCGGCCCUGUUCUCUCCGAGUUCUGGGCGGGCUGCGUGGUGCUGCCCACGGCGAGGGCGCAUCCCCAUGGUGCUGGAGACACUCAUCUGGGCCCCACAGAAACUCACAGACACCCCGGGUGCUCAGUCUUUCCCAUCCCGGG